RNAcentral lists this ribosomal RNA (250 nucleotides) under uncultured prokaryote. RNAcentral's name for it is "partial 16S rRNA". It matches the Rfam family "Bacterial small subunit ribosomal RNA", at positions 525 to 775 of the family's 1533-position model. The record is from RNAcentral.
ACGGGGGUGCCAACGUUGUUCGGAAUUAUUUGGCGUAAAGCGCUUGUAGGCGGUUUGUUAAAGAUGAUGUGAAAGCCCCGGGCUCAACCCGGGAAGUGCAUUGGAAACUGGCAGACUUGAAUACGGGAGAGGGUAGUGGAAUUCCCGGUGUAGGAGUGAAAUCCGUAGAUAUCAGGAGGAACACCGGUGGCGAAGGCGGCUGCCUGUGCCGAUAUUGACGCUGAGACGCGAAAGCGUGGGGAGCAAACAG